This 541-nucleotide long non-coding RNA is filed under the name Pogona vitticeps (central bearded dragon). RNAcentral describes it as "lncRNA (ENSPVIG00000022453.1)". Lineage: Eukaryota; Metazoa; Chordata; Lepidosauria; Squamata; Agamidae. The record is from RNAcentral.
AUAAAGGCAUCCAUUGAGUUAAGCAUCCUUGCCCACUCUGACAGGUUGCUAGUUGUGUGAGCAGUUGCAUGACUGUUCUGACAUUCAGUAUGAGAAUGGGUACAUUGCAGGGAGCCUUCCACUCAGCAUUUAGGCAACAGGAUAUCACCCAUCUUUUUUCAAAGUUGUAUCACUGAGUACAGCUGUCUGCUUCCUUGCCCUUCUGAUGUCACAAAUAACUGGCAACUGACUGCAAUCCUUCCAUUGGCUUUACACUUCCAAAAGUCCUGGCAAUCUCCUUGACAAGGAGACCCAGUAUGCCACAGAAAAUCCAGCUGCUUGGAAUUCAGAAGAUAAAGUUUUCGAAGUGGGGAAUGAAAUAAAUGCUGCUGUCUUGACAAAGACAAGAUGGCUUACAGAAUUUUUCUCUGUUUCAACAGUGGAAAACAUAGAAGCUAAUGAUGAAGAACCAGGUCCAGAUCUCCCAAGUACAUCUGCAAUAAAUGAGAGUAGCAUGUCAAAUCAAGAUAUUGAAAGUGAUGGAUCAUCACAUCCUACAGAU